AUUGAACGCUGGCGGCAUGCCUUACACAUGCAAGUCGAACGGCAGCACGGGAGCAAUCCUGGUGGCGAGUGGCGAACGGGUGAGUAAAGUAUCGGAACGUGCCCAGUCGUGGGGGAUAACGUAGCGAAAGUUACGCUAAUACCGCAUACGAUCUAUGGAUGAAAGCGGGGGAUCGCAAGACCUCGCGCGAUUGGAGCGGCCGAUAUCAGAUUAGGUAGUUGGUGGGGUAAAGGCUCACCAAGCCGACGAUCUGUAGCUGGUCUGAGAGGACGACCAGCCACACUGGGACUGAGAAACGGCCCAGACUCCUACGGGAGGCAGCAGUGGGGAAUUUUGGACAAUGGGCGAAAGCCUGAUCCAGCCAUGCCGCGUGCAGGAUGAAGGCCUUCGGGUUGUAAACUGCUUUUGUACGGAACGAAAAGGUUUGGGCUAAUAAGCUGAGCUCAUGACGGUACCGUAAGAAUAAGCACCGGCUAACUACGUGCCAGCCGCCGCGGUAA
Molecule: ribosomal RNA, 500 nt
Filed under: uncultured bacterium
Lineage: Bacteria
Description: partial 16S ribosomal RNA
Rfam family: Bacterial small subunit ribosomal RNA
Source: RNAcentral